GUAUUUUGACUGUGCUAAGGUAGCGAAGUCAUUUGUUCUUUUAUUGAGAACUUGUAUGAGUGGAGUUAUGGAGGUUUUUUUAUAAACGGUUUUUUGGCUGAAUUUGAUUUAUCUACGAAAAGUUAGAUUUGUUUUCAAAGACGAGAAGACCCCGAAAUCUUUAUUUUAAAAAAAUGGGUUUUAAUUUUUGUUUGGGGGAAAAGUUAAUUUGUAUUAUUUUCUUUUUUAGUGUGAACUUUGUUAGGUUAAAUGGAUAGAUACUUCGGGGUUAACAGGAUAAUUUUCUUUUGAAGUUCUUAUUUUAGAGGGAGAUUGUUACCUCGAUGUUGGCUUUUGA
Molecule: ribosomal RNA, 337 nt
Filed under: Demodex canis (dog follicle mite)
Lineage: Eukaryota; Metazoa; Arthropoda; Arachnida; Trombidiformes; Demodicidae
Description: partial 16S ribosomal RNA
Source: RNAcentral